GGCACAAUGGGCUCAUGAACAAAGUAGUCCUCUUGUAGGGAGGCAAGCUCAUAAGAGGCAAACAGCAUUGCUUCACUUGCCAAGUAGUCACUCCUUAAUGUUAACCACUGCCUCUGAUCUAGUGCCACCCCUCAAGGAAACCAAGCUACUUGUCAUCAGGUUAUACUGGAUCCUCCAUUCUGGAAUGUGCACUGAUGCACCUUGACAACAAACUGCCCAUUUCCACAUGCAUUUGCUUUUCUUGCCCAUACGAUGCUGGCCAAAAAUACUAUCCAAGGUUUACAGAUGUUUGAUCCAUCAAUAUUCAUCCUGCAGAAUACUGCCCUUGACCUACAGACCUGGUUUAUAGCAAAGGAGGUGUGUCACUGGGCAAAUGACCAUAGGAUCCACAGCUCCUAACAUGUAAUACACAUGACCCAGAAAAUGCUGAUCAGAUGGAAUGGUGUAAAAAAACUUUUGAAGAUGAAACUGAUGCAAAAGCUUGAAGAAAAUUCCCGAAGAGGAAAUGCCACCCCAGGAUUCAGUACGUACACUAGAUCAAUACCCAUCAUAUGGUGCUAUGUCCCAUAUAGAUAGAAUAUGUAUUUGGGGAUGAAAGAGUAAAAAUAGAAUUCCCACUAUGGUAUGGCUGAACAAGGCCCCCAAAUAUGUCUGUAUCCUGAUAACUGGAAUC
Molecule: long non-coding RNA, 673 nt
Filed under: Marmota monax (woodchuck)
Lineage: Eukaryota; Metazoa; Chordata; Mammalia; Rodentia; Sciuridae
Source: RNAcentral